GGGGAUUUAGCUCAGGGUCUAAGCACCCACCUGUCAAGUGUGAGAUCGUAAGUUUAAUCCCCA
RNAcentral lists this transfer RNA (63 nucleotides) under Cavia porcellus (domestic guinea pig). It matches the Rfam family "tRNA". From Rfam's summary of the family: Transfer RNA (tRNA) molecules are approximately 80 nucleotides in length. Lineage: Eukaryota; Metazoa; Chordata; Mammalia; Rodentia; Caviidae. The record is from Rfam by way of RNAcentral.